Molecule: ribosomal RNA, 460 nt
Filed under: uncultured Bacteroidota bacterium
Lineage: Bacteria; Pseudomonadati; Bacteroidota
Description: bacterial SSU rRNA
Rfam family: Bacterial small subunit ribosomal RNA
Source: RNAcentral
CCUACGGGCGGCUGCAGUGAGGAAUAUUGGUCAAUGGGCGCAAGCCUGAACCAGCCAUCCCGCGUGAAGGAAGAAGGCGCUAUGCGUUGUAAACUUCUUUUCCAGGGGGAGAAUUUUUCCGUCGUGACGGGAAUUGACGGUACUCUGGGAAUAAGCAUCGGCUAACUCCGUGCCAGCAGCCGCGGUAAUACGGAGGAUGCGAGCGUUAUCCGGAUUUAUUGGGUUUAAAGGGUGCGUAGGCGGAUAGAUAAGUCAGUGGUGAAAUUCUGCAGCUUAACUGUAGACUUGCCGUUGAUACUGUCAGUCUUGAGUAUGGUCAAGGCAGGCGGAAUGUGUAAUGUAGCGGUGAAAUGCUUAGAUAUUACACAGAACACCGAUUGCGAAGGCAGCUUGCUGGGCCAUUACUGACGCUGAUGCACGAAAGCGUGGGGAUCGAACAGGAUUAGAUACCCCAGUAGUC